UACGAAGGUCCCGAGCGUUGUUCGGAAUCACUGGGCGUAAAGGGAGCGUAGGCGGUGAGGUAAGUCAGACGUGAAAUCCCGGGGCUCAACCCCGGAACUGCGUCCGAUACUGCCCUACUUGAGCAUUGGAGAGGUAGCUGGAAUUCACGGUGUAGCAGUGAAAUGCGUAGAUAUCGUGAGGAACACUCGUGGCGAAAGCGAGCUACUGGACAAUUGCUGACGCUGAGGCUCGAAGGCCAGGGUAGCGAAAGGG
RNAcentral lists this ribosomal RNA (253 nucleotides) under uncultured bacterium. RNAcentral's name for it is "partial 16S ribosomal RNA". It matches the Rfam family "Bacterial small subunit ribosomal RNA", at positions 524 to 776 of the family's 1533-position model. The record is from RNAcentral.